Molecule: long non-coding RNA, 619 nt
Organism: Myxocyprinus asiaticus (Chinese sucker)
Lineage: Eukaryota; Metazoa; Chordata; Actinopteri; Cypriniformes; Catostomidae
Exons: 2
Source: RefSeq, a predicted model, not a curated record
UCGGAUAGCGCAAGUGAACUGAACUUCUGCGCUGCUGUACUGUACUAUCCCCAAUGUGGUACUUUAUUGAGAAAUUAAUUUCUUUGAUCAAAACGUGUUUUAAUAGGACACCACUGAGGGCUGUUGGAUUUGCACUUCCUCUGGUUUAUUGUAAAAGUUGAGUGAUACUCCUGGUUUCCGUGCUUCCCUUUGGCAUCAAAUGUGUGAUUUCUGAAAGCAGGUAAGCCACUGACUAACGCACAUUGCGCCUAUUUUCCAUUCCACUGUGCGUGUGACAGCGGCUAACCAGCUUUUGGAUGUGUGUCUGACUUAAGUAGCCGUGGGAAUGCCUCACUGCAUCACGUUUUGGGUCCUCUGACUUCAUAUAACUCUUUUGUUCAUCUAGCUCAACUGGUAGAGCACUGCACUACGAAUCACAAGGUUGUGGGUACGAUUCCCACUCAAACAUAGUGAUUAAAAGUAUAUGAAUGCAAUGUAAGUUGCUUUGGAUAAAGGCAUCUGCCAAAUGCAUUAAUGUAAAUGAUGAUGUCAGCCUACGUGCUGGGCGUCACAGCCAUGUGCUUCAACUGUACCAUAAAUGCUCUCAUAGUAUGUGGAAAUGAACGGAAAUGAAACCUUA